Molecule: ribosomal RNA, 119 nt
Filed under: Pteropus alecto (black flying fox)
Lineage: Eukaryota; Metazoa; Chordata; Mammalia; Chiroptera; Pteropodidae
Source: RNAcentral
AUCUAUGGCCAUGCUACCCUGAACAAGCCCAAUCCCGUCUGAUCUCGGAAGCUAAGCAGGGUCUGGCCUGGUUAGUACUUGGAUGGGAGACCACCUAGGAAGACCAGGUGCUGUAGGAG